UCCUGGCUCAGGAUGAACGCUAGCGACAGGCCUAACACAUGCAAGUCGAGGGGCAGCACAGGGGUAGCUUGCUACUUUGGGUGGCGACCGGCGCACGGGUGCGUAACAGGUGUGCAAUCUGUCCAUAAUCGGGGAAUAGCCCAGCGAAAGUUGGAUUAAUGCUCCAUGUGAGUAAGAGAGGCAUCUCUUUAUUUGAAACGUAAGGAUUAUGGGUGAGCACGCUUCUGAUUAGGUAGUUGGUGAGGUAACGGCUCACCAAGCCGACGAUCAGUAGGGGUUCUGAGAGGAAGGUCCCCCACAUUGGAACUGAGACACGGUCCAAACUCCUACGGGAGGCAGCAGUGAGGAAUAUUGGUCAAUGGACGGAAGUCUGAACCAGCCAAGUCGCGUGAAGGAUGAAGGUUCUAUGGAUUGUAAACUUCUUUUGUCUGAGGGUAAAAAAGCGGACGUGUCCGUUCUUGCAAGUAUCAGACGAAUAAGCAUCGGCUAACUCCGUG
This 497-nucleotide ribosomal RNA is filed under the name uncultured bacterium. Its description in RNAcentral is "bacterial SSU rRNA". It matches the Rfam family "Bacterial small subunit ribosomal RNA", at positions 17 to 507 of the family's 1533-position model. The record is from RNAcentral.